Molecule: long non-coding RNA, 1195 nt
Organism: Physeter macrocephalus (sperm whale)
Lineage: Eukaryota; Metazoa; Chordata; Mammalia; Artiodactyla; Physeteridae
Exons: 3
Source: RefSeq, a predicted model, not a curated record
UCUCCCUCCCUCUCUCUCCCUCUCCUUCUCUACGUUUUUAACAAAACAAAACCAAAAUGAACUGAUGGAUUUGUAAUGAUAGUUUGUUGCUGGAGAAUGCUACUUUGCAUGCUUUUUUUCUCUUGCAGGGUAUGUUCUGUUUUGUGCUUUUCCUUUUAGAAGCUACUAAAGGGUUUUGGGGAUGCUUCUGACUGUUAUGAAGGCCAAAAGGCCUGUUGACUGGGGCUGCUUUUAACCCUUUCAUAUUUGCAGAGAAUGCAACCGUGUGACAGUAACUGAACAUUGGUCCAAAAUCUUUCCAAAAGGUCAAGGUUCACAAGGAAACCAGCAGUUCCAGAAUCAAGUCCAAGAUGAUCGCAGCAACGGAUAGAACUAGUUCUGUCUUCUGGUUUGGUAAAAGUACAGUCAAGAGGAGCCCAUAGAAGACACGAUUGAAAACAAAUUUCUCCCCUACUCUGUGGGAGGGUAUUUUGUUCCUCUUUGCAUUCAGCAGAACAGUCUUUUCAGAAGUGCCGAGGGUCUUAGAAUGGGUUGUGUGCUGGCAGUUGGUGGGCAGAAUAUCUGCAGUGAAGGGUGUCAAAUAUGCAAGGGUUUUAUUGUUGAAAUUUUUUUCAUAUGAUUUCAGAGCAUCCAGCGUGUGCUAAAACUGGCAAAAGAGAAACAACAGGGCAUGGUUAGCUCAGAGUACUUUGUGUGGUAUUUAAUAGAGAUAAAUGCAAUCUCGGACUGAGAGACCAGUAAAUAGCUCAUGUGAUGGAACAAAAUUCUUGACAAAUCACUGUGCGAAAAUUGGUUUUCAAUUCUACAACAUUUUUGACUGCCAGAGGUUCUGUGUCUGAAUGUGGCAGAAAUCUGCUUGCAAAGCAGAUCCCAAUCCACGUUGCAUGAUAUGCUGUUCCUGCUUUUCUGGUGCCAACUAAAACUCAGAUGGCUAAUGUGAUAAACCUUAAUUAGCUUAAUACUACAAUGAGCUGUUUUAUAAUUGAGUCCUUCACUCCUGUCUUUAGAAAGUCAGUGAUUUUUAUUUAACUUUGACAGCUAACCCCUUGCAGUGACUGUUUCUUGAUAGGAUGUUUAAAAGCCCUUUUUGUAAGGCGUGGCGUGUCCCAGAACGUUCUGGUUUACUCUCUGUGGUUUUUAGAUUUGUUACUCCCCCUCCCCCCAGAAGGCGCCUGGAAAAUAGCAUUUGCUUUGC